UACGGAGGGUGCAAGCGUUAUCCGGAUUCACUGGGUUUAAAGGGAGCGUAGGUGGGGUGGUAAGUCAGUGGUGAAAUCUCCGGGCUUAACUCGGAAACUGCCAUUGAUACUAUAGGUCUUGAAUUAUCUGGAGGUAAGCGGAAUAUGUCAUGUAGCGGUGAAAUGCUUAGAUAUGACAUAGAACACCAAUUGCGAAGGCAGCUUACUACGGAUAUAUUGACACUGAGGCACGAAAGCGUGGGGAUCAAACAGG
Molecule: ribosomal RNA, 253 nt
Filed under: uncultured bacterium
Lineage: Bacteria
Description: partial 16S ribosomal RNA
Rfam family: Bacterial small subunit ribosomal RNA
Source: RNAcentral